Molecule: ribosomal RNA, 720 nt
Filed under: Meloidogyne arenaria
Lineage: Eukaryota; Metazoa; Nematoda; Chromadorea; Rhabditida; Meloidogynidae
Description: eukaryotic LSU rRNA
Rfam family: Eukaryotic large subunit ribosomal RNA
Source: RNAcentral
AACUUCAUCUAAGACUUAAUAUUGCCACGAGACCGAUAGCAAACAAGUACUGUGAAGGAAAGUUGCAAAGCACUUUGAAGAGAGAGUUAAAGAGGACGUGAAACCGGURAGGUGGAAACGGAUAGAGUCGGCGUAUCAUUCAAUUAUUCAGUUACAUUAUUUUUAUGUUGUGACCUCUGAGCUCCAGAUUGGGACAGAGGGAAUCAGCAUAAUUUUYUGUGGUGCAUUUACUUGAUUGGUGCUUGGGGAUGUUUGAGGCAGAUUUGUUUCCGUCGUUUUGAGGCCAGCUUGCUGGUACCCAAACGGUGUUAGCAUUUUUUGUCUUGGGCAUUUGAGUAUGGCUCACGUGUAUUUAUUGGACAGAUCUGAGUGUAAGUUACGGUCGCAUGCGACACGUGCUUUUCAAUUAGUUCGGUCCAGUUAAUGCUCUCGUACUCGUUCCCCAUGUAAAAGCCGGUCAUCUAUCCGACCCGUCUUGAAACACGGACCAAGGAGUUUAUCGUGUGCGCAAGUUUUUGGGUGUUAAAAACYUAAAAGCGAAAUGAAAGUAAAUGACUCUUUAGAGUCUGAUGUGCGAUCUUGUAAAAAAGUGYAGCAUGGCCCCAUUCUAACUGUUUACAGUAGGGUGGCGGAAGAGCGUACGCGGUGAGACCCGAAAGAUGGUGAACUAUUCCUGAGCAGGACGAAGCCAGAGGAAACUCUGGUGGAAGUCCGAAGCGG